This 400-nucleotide ribosomal RNA is filed under the name uncultured bacterium. RNAcentral's name for it is "bacterial SSU rRNA". It matches the Rfam family "Bacterial small subunit ribosomal RNA", at positions 355 to 747 of the family's 1533-position model. The record is from RNAcentral.
UGGGGAAUAUUGGACAAUGGGCGCAAGCCUGAUCCAGCCAUGCCGCGUGAGUGAAGAAGGCCUUCGGGUUGUAAAGCUCUUUUGUCCGGAAAGAAAAGUUCCCGGUUAAUACCCGGGGAUCAUGACGGUACCGGAAGAAUAAGCACCGGCUAACUUCGUGCCAGCAGCCGCGGUAAUACGAAGGGUGCAAGCGUUACUCGGAAUUACUGGGCGUAAAGCGUGCGUAGGUGGUUCGUUAAGUCUGAUGUGAAAGCCCUGGGCUCAACCUGGGAAUGGCAUUGGAUACUGGCGGGCUAGAGUGCGGUAGAGGGCAGUGGAAUUCCCGGUGUAGCAGUGAAAUGCGUAGAGAUCGGGAGGAACAUCUGUGGCGAAGGCGACUGCCUGGACCAGCACUGACACU